UAGCAUAUGGUUUCUAUUACGCAUCCUUGAUUAUUCACUCACCAGAAAGACAGCUCUCACCACCACUAGCCUGUGCUUGGCUAAUACUGUUAAUAGGACACUAGUAGAUAAGGACUCUGUUCUAACUUGGAGACGGCUACAUGCAUAUCUGCUUUGCAGCCUUGGAGACGGCUUUGCUAUCAAACAACACCAAUGCAAAACAAUGCAUCAUAGAAUCUAUGGUGUCACCCUCACAUGCAUAAUGAAACCAAAUGAAACAAUAUAUAUGGAUAUUUUGAAUACUGGAGC
This 288-nucleotide long non-coding RNA is filed under the name Sorghum bicolor (sorghum). RNAcentral's name for it is "long non-coding RNA (SBIC_LNC014970)". Lineage: Eukaryota; Viridiplantae; Streptophyta; Magnoliopsida; Poales; Poaceae. The record is from RNAcentral.